Thalassophryne amazonica is the source of this 225-nucleotide long non-coding RNA. RefSeq lists it as uncharacterized. The transcript is spliced from 3 exons. NCBI's taxonomy places the organism in Eukaryota, Metazoa, Chordata, Actinopteri, Batrachoidiformes, Batrachoididae. The record is from RefSeq and is a predicted model, not a curated record.
GAGAAAAUAUAUAAAACAAUAAGUUAGCUGAUGAUAACACACUGUAUUCAAACACAAAGUGUGGAUUUUCCCCUGAAGUGCUCCUGGAUAAAUGUAUAGGGAGGAGCACGGGGCGUCUCACCACAAUGAGCCGUGUCUCGCUCCCCUCCAGACUUCCAGCUUUCACUCACACAGCCCCACUGAGCACUGAGGUACAAAGCGAGACUCACUCCCAGCCAGGCACAU